Molecule: small nucleolar RNA, 127 nt
Filed under: Sorex araneus (European shrew)
Lineage: Eukaryota; Metazoa; Chordata; Mammalia; Eulipotyphla; Soricidae
Source: RNAcentral
UAGAUACUGAACUUUGAGGGCAAAUUCACUCUAGCUCAAAUAGAGGCCCAAAGGACUGUCUUCCUGUGAUCUGUUGGCUGUUAUGGAACCUCAGCGAGAAUGGCUGUUUCAUUUGGAAGAAGCAACC